GACUGGGAUUCCAGUUUGACAGAUAGGCUGCUGGGUGGCCCUGACUGCGGUCAGUCAGGCAGGUCAAUUACGGUGAGGACCAGGGUUUCGUCAAGGACUGAGAAGACUCUUAGAAAGACUGGCGGCCGUGACCUUUAGGAAGGCAGGUUUUUAUGGACUGGAGAGAGGCUGAAGCAGAAUGCAGGGAGCUCAGUUGUGAAUAAGGAAGUAGUCCCAGAUUGGAAAGCACCCAAGUGGCUAACAAUCAGACCCCGACUGAACAGCUACAGCACCAUCGCCAGAAGAAGCGACUCUGUGUCCACACACAGACGGGCUUCCCAAAUUAGGUGACGUAAAGCAUUGGAAGACACAAAAUGGCAUUUACAGCGAUUACAAUGAUGAAAGGGCCUGCGUGUGCUGCGAGCCCCGGAGAAGCCGGAGAAGAUGGAGCCCUGCUUGCGGAGGCUGAGUUAAAGUCUCCGGAUCUUCUUUUUUUGGAAGGGUGUCCACUGGCAAACAAAACCACGCAGUGUUUCUUUAAAAUAAAAGUAGCCGGCGAGGAAACGGAGCCAGCGAGUGGAGGCCACUCAAAAGACAGUGACAGCGUGAGUACCACCGGCAGAGGACAACCUAUAGUAGCUGUUUUCCUCCGCUCCCCACACGGGCCCUGGGAACUGAAUUCAUUUGUCAGGUGCUGGGAAGGAAAUCCAGGCUGAGCUGGCUAAGUAACACCCUGCCACAGAGCUACAUUCCCAAGCCCAGAAUCUCCCAGCAGAGCCCUGGGUGGUGGUCCUGAAGGGCUCCUGCCAGCCAAGCCUUUUGUCUUUGUGUAUGUGAGUAUUCCUGUAAGCAUUAUUUCUCACUUUAUAUUUGUGUUUGUUUGUCUUUGUGACUUUUUUUUAAAACAUUAGCAGGAACAUUUGCUGCCCCGAGUUGAGCAAUGUCUCUCUAACACGUGACUGUGGGUCCCUUUUCAGUGCUGCAGUGGGGUUAGCUCUGUGCUUCUGACUCAUUGCCAGGUAUCCCACGGCACAGGAAGUGAAGGGCAAACCCCAGAGAAGACAGGGGCAUCUCUUUUCCCAGGGCUGGGGGAUUCGAUGAGAGUAAAGUGGACAGGCAGCAUUUUGUUGAGAAGGACAGGCCAGGUGGGCAAAAACAGACAAGGAGGGCCUCCUCUCUGCUCUCUCUCUCUCACUCUGUGUGUGUGUGUGUAUGUGUGUUUGAAUGCCACAGCAUGGCUGUCAAAGCAACAUGUGGAAAUCCCUUCUCUGCUCACAUCCCGUGGGUCCUGAUGAUCAAACUCAGGCAGUAAGGCUUUGCAGCUAGUGUCUUUACUGCCAUCUCGCAUACCCAGGCUAGAUGGGAAUUGACUAUGUAGCUGAGGGUAGCCUUGAACUCUCGAUCUUCCUGUACCAAUGCAGCCUCUAUCUUCUCUUAAGCCAAUUUCCCCAUCUGAGUUCCUGCUGCAGCCCCUCCUCCUCGAGUGGUCUGUUCUCAUCCCUUAAGAGUAGCCUAGGAUGGAGGUUGAAUGCGGUUCCUAUACCAGCCUGCGUAGCAUUAUCCAUCAGCCAGGGAACAACCUGGAAAUGCGACUCAUGGGGCCCGCUUCAGUCCCUCAGUGUCACACUCUCAGUUGAGUUCCGAGGCCCUCUAGCCCAUGAAGGUACAAGCUCAACUUUGAGAAUCAUUAUUCUAGCAUAUGCUUCCGGGUCUGAUUCCUUCACCAUCCACUCAUGUGUCCAUUCUCUUAGGUGACCAGGAGGAAGCCUGGGAGAGAUGGUUAUUCAACUGCAUAACUGGCCUUCAGUGCCUGGAGGGAAAAUCAGAGACCUAUGCCAUCCCUCCCUAGGACAUUCCCAUCUCUCCAUCCACUCGGAAUAAACGGGAGUAUGGCAGGGGAACACUGUCCUUGAACAGGCAGCACAGCAGAGGUCUGGGAGAUGGCUCCGAGGGUAAGGGACCAAGCAAGGUCACCUGCGCUCACUCCCUGGAACCCACACAGUGGACAAGAGAGAAAGACUCUAUGGCCUCCACGUGCGUGCGUGCGUGCUGUGGUGUGCACGUGCCCCUCCCCCAAAUAAAGAAAACUUAACGAAAAAAAAUUAAAAGUAAAAAAACAGCACUGCAGUAGCUCCAGGAGUCAACUGGUCAAUCAGUGUAUCACAUUUGACUAUCCGAUGAUGGUUUUAUUUUACAUGUAUGCACGUGUUUGCAUGUAUGUGGGUGCACAUGUACAAACACAUGUGCCAAGGCCAAAGGACAACUUUGGGUGUCCUUUCUCAGGAGCCAUCGACCUUAUUUUCUGAGACAGGGCCUCUCACUGGAAUCUGACUGGCCAGCAGCCUCCCAAGGAUGCUCCCCAACCUCAGAAGGAUGCGCCUGUCUCUGCCUCCCAGCCCCGGGGGUUACACUGGUGGACCACUGGGCUCUUUUCACCUGGGUGCUGAUGUUGGAAUGCUGGUCUUCAUUGUGAGUGGCAGACACUUUACUGACUGAGCCACUGUGUAUUUGUUGGCGUGUCCCUUAGAAGGUGCUGACACACUGGGGCAGUAUGGAUGCCUCCUCUGGGGAAGGCAAGGAUGGUUUGUGUACCUCUAAGACUGUUGAACUAACCCGGAAAAGGAAGAAGGCAGUGACCACCUAGUAUCUGCCUACCAGCCCAAUUCUGAUUCUGAAUGGGAAUCACCAAGGCCUCCUGCAGAGGCAGACAGCAGAAGACGUGUUGUUGUUGUCCUUGGUGUAAAACGAGCUGUUGGCAGACACAGGGUGCUCACAGCUUCAGAAACCUUAGACGGGAGAGCAGUGAAUAUUCUCGCUGCUCAUGGGCACUGAGAUGUCUUAUACCAGUAACUCAACCAGGAGUCACCUGACAACGGAGGGGCACGCUGGUCCUUCCCCAACAGAGAUAAAAAGAUGCUGCUAGAGGAAUUACUGCUCUUGUUUAUUUGUUUGAGUGGAUGGAUAGAUGGUUGGUUCGGUUCAGGUUUGAGUUUUUGUUGUUUGUUUGUUUGUUUGUUUGUUUGUUUGUUUGUUUUGAAUUUGAGAAAGGUUCUCUGUAUUUAGCCCAGGCUGGCCUGAAUCCCUCGAGAACCUUUUGCCUCUGCUUCCCACGUGCUAAGAGUCCAGGUGUGCAGCACCGUGUUCAGCUUCGUGAAGAUGUUUAGAACUCGCUCCAGUAUCUGUGUGUGUGUGUGUAUAUGUGUGUGUGUGUGUGUGUGUGUGUGUGUGUGUGUGUGUGUAUGUGUGUGUAUAUAUAUAUAUAUGUAUAUGUGUGUGUGUGUGUGUGCGUGUAUAUAUAUAUAGUCACAGCUAAAAAUGAAGGGGAGCAUUAUUACCCUUGUUGAGAAGAGAGCAGCCUGAGGAACAUGGGAGAGGACCCCCAACACACACACCCCAAGAGUAGUCAUUCCCCUAAAGAGAUAGCAUGGCUGAGCAGAGGGUCUACAUACAAGGAAACAUGGGCUCGAGCUAGGAAACCGAGGUUAAGGGUGGGAUGGACUGCAUCUCCGGGUGGAAAAAUGAGGUAGAGGCUGUUACAGAUUUCUCCCUAAAGCUCCGUGGAGGCUUCAAUCCUAGAUCUCAGAAUGUGGCCGUAUCUGGAAGCAGGGCGACUACAGGUAUCAUUAAGAGGAGCCAGUACUGGAUGGAGCAGAACAGGCCCUAGAUCUGAUAUGAGCGGUGGAAGACACAGAGACGGCCGAAGACAGACGCAGAGAGUGGAGCAAUCCAGCUACAGAGCUCAGAAGUGCCUGAGGCCGCAGGAAGAUGGGAGAGACAGAGGACUCCUGCUCCCCAGAAGCUUCCCGGGGCCUGCUGUCCUGCUAGCACUUUGUUAUCAGGCUUCUGGCUGAUGGAGCUGGGAGAAGGGGCUCCAUUCACCUGGUUCCACACAGUUUUCAAGUAUCUGUGUGUGAAUGUCCCGAAAAUAAACACAGGAAUUAGCACCCAUGUCCCUGGAGGAGCCUCUUCUAUAGGGAAAUGGAGGCUGAGACGAAGACCAAACUCCAUUUCAGAGCACAUCUCAGCUCACUGUUAAAGACAUGUUGUUUUGAAGUUCUCUGCCUGGGUGCUGGAGACUAGCACAGUUGAUAGGAUGCUUGCAUAAUGAAGUCCUGGGUUCAAUCCCCAGCACCAGUGGAGAAGUCUCUAUUGGGAGGGGAUAGAGGCAAGGCAGGAAGACUGGAAGUUCAAGGCCAACCUCAGCUACAUUUGAGGCCAGCCUGGUCCUACAAAGAUGGCUCAGGAGGUAAAAGUUUUUGCUGCCAAGCCUGGCUACCUGAGUUUGGUUGUCAGAGACCCACAUGGUAGAAGGAGAGAAGCUGUGAAAAGUAUUCUUCUGAUCUCCAUAUGUGCUCUGUGCUAUGCAUGCAUGCGCUUACACACACACACACACACACUGCUACACACAAAUAAAUGUUAAAAGAUGUUUUUUAAUGGUCUUUGCCUGUACUUGCACAGGACUGGAGUCUGGGUCCCAGCACCCACAUCAGAGAGCUCACAGCCGCCUCGAGCUGUGAGCUGUGUGUCUGGCUUCUGAGAGCACCUGUUCUCACAUGCUCAUACCCACACACAAGCACAUACCCAAAGACCCAUACCGAGAUAUUUACAGAGUGUUUGUCUAACAUGUAUGAUGCCCCAUGUUACAUCCCACAUACAAAAAGAAAAGAAAAACCUGACAUCAUAAAAAACACACACCUUUAUUCCCAGUACUCAGGAGGCAGAGGCAGGUGGAUCUCAAGGCCAGCCUGGUCUACAGAGUGAGUUCUAGGACAGCCAGGGUUACACAGAGAAACCGUGUCUCAAAAUAAACAAGUAAAAUAAAAAAUAAAACAAACUAACCAGUACCCCAGAGCUCUUGACUCUAGCUGCAUGUAUCAAAAGAUGGCCUACUCCUCGGCCAUCACUGGAAAGAGAGGCCCAUUGGACUUGCAAACUUUAUAUGCCCCAGUACAGGGGAACGCCAGGGUCAAAAAGGGGGAGUGGGUGGGUAGGGGAGUGGGGGGGAGGGGAGUGGGUGGGUAGGGGAGUGGGGGGGAGGGUAUGGGGGACUUUUGGGAUAGCAUUGGAAAUGUAAAUGAGGAAAAUACCUAAUAAAAAAUAUUAAAAAAAUAAAUAAAACAAGACAAACACAAGGACCAUUCCAAGUUGAAGAAGAAACAGAGACAGGAUAAAUGAACAUGGACCUGGACUUUAAAGUAGACACUGGCAACACAUGGAUGUUAUGAUCCUGCCUUUUAUCAUUCUAUGAUUCAUAUACAUAUGUGUGUGUGUGUGUAUAUAAUAUAUAUGAUAUAUAUGCAAAAAAUGAGUAUAUAUGCAUACAUACACCAGAAUGGUAAACAAUGUAAAUUGGUCUGGAAAGAUGGUUCCCUGGUGAAUCCUUUGCCGCCAAGUGUAAGGGUUACCUGAAUUUGG
This is a long non-coding RNA of Mus musculus (house mouse), 5394 nucleotides long. RefSeq annotates it as predicted gene, 41590. NCBI's taxonomy places the organism in Eukaryota, Metazoa, Chordata, Mammalia, Rodentia, Muridae. The record is from RefSeq and is a predicted model, not a curated record. The transcript has 4 exons.